Molecule: ribosomal RNA, 253 nt
Filed under: uncultured bacterium
Lineage: Bacteria
Description: partial 16S ribosomal RNA
Rfam family: Bacterial small subunit ribosomal RNA
Source: RNAcentral
UACGUAGGUCCCAAGCGUUAUCCGGAAUUACUGGGCGUAAAGCGUCUGUAGGUGGAUAAAUAAGUUUUGUAUGAAAGACCGAAGCUCAACUUCGUGUUUGUGCAAAAAACUGUUUGUCUAGAAUUAGGGAGAGGUAAGCAGAAUUAUGUGAGUAGAGGUGCAAUUCGUAGAUACACAUAAGAAUACCAAAAGCGAAGGCAGCUUACUGGAACUAUAUUGACACUGAGAGACGAAAGCGUGGGGAGCGAAAAGG